RNAcentral lists this long non-coding RNA (656 nucleotides) under Brassica rapa (field mustard). RNAcentral describes it as "long non-coding RNA (BRAP_LNC007278)". Lineage: Eukaryota; Viridiplantae; Streptophyta; Magnoliopsida; Brassicales; Brassicaceae. The record is from RNAcentral.
UUGACAGUAAUGAUGUGUAUCAGUUUUUCUUUCUGCCUUCCUAAUAUAAAUUAAUUUUCAUUUAAAUUGUUUAUAUUUGAACUUGAUAGUAUUUUUCUUAUACACUAUCUUAAAAGUUUUUUAAAAUAUUUACUAUAGAAAAAAUACUUUUUGUUAGGAAGGUAGAAAGAAAAACUUAUACACAUCAUUACUAUAUAUAAAUAUGCAUGUUUGUUUAAAUCUUGUAUAUGUUAUUAUAUUUGGACACCAAGUAAGCCAUUUCAUCCCAAAAACUAAUCAGAAUUUUUUUUUUUUUUUUUUUUGAGAAAAGGCCUUAAUCAGAAUUUACAAUAUAAAUGAUAUUGUUAAUGUUCAAAACAUGGUUUUACAUUGAAUUUGCUAUAUAUGGUUUAUUUUUUAUAUAUUAAUAAUUUUGCUAUAUCUUAUUAUUGAUAUUAUUAUUAUUAAUUAUAUAUCUCAUUAUAAUUGUAUUUAAAAUAAAUUAGUUAUAUAUAAUAUGAUUUAAUCCAAUUUCAGUAAGCGUACGUUAGUUUGAAUCUAUGUGUUUCAAUCUGUCAUUAUUAACAUGGACUCGUAUUCGAUCUUCUGGCAAGUCUACUUUUAUCCUGCACUAUGUGUCUGUAUUUCAAUUUACUCUGAGCUUGAUUACAUAGGAA